Heterocephalus glaber (naked mole-rat) is the source of this 163-nucleotide non-coding RNA. Lineage: Eukaryota; Metazoa; Chordata; Mammalia; Rodentia; Bathyergidae. The record is from RefSeq and is a predicted model, not a curated record.
UUGUUUUGUUUUGUUUUUUCAGUUGGAAGAAAAAUGGAAUCGAUACACAGAGGCUGUGCAGGGUGCUGAGAAGAUGCAAGAACACCUGCAAAAACUUCAACUUGAAAAUUCCAGGCUGAAAAGUAAAGUCAAAAAGCAAGCAGGGAAAAUUGAACACCUUCAG